GGGAACGUGCCUUCCGGUUCGGAAUAACCCUGGGAAACUAGGGCUAAUACCGGAUACGCCCUUAUGGGGAAAGGUUUACUGCCGGAAGAUCGGCCCGCGUCUGAUUAGCUAGUUGGUGGGGUAACGGCCUACCAAGGCGACGAUCAGUAGCUGGUCUGAGAGGAUGAUCAGCCACACUGGGACUGAGACACGGCCCAGACUCCUACGGGAGGCAGCAGUGGGGAAUAUUGGACAAUGGGCGCAAGCCUGAUCCAGCCAUGCCGCGUGAGUGAUGAAGGCCUUAGGGUUGUAAAGCUCUUUUAUCCGGGACGAUAAUGACGGUACCGGAGGAAUAAGCCCCGGCUAACUUCGUGCCAGCAGCCGCGGUAAUACGAAGGGGGCUAGCGUUGCUCGGAAUCACUGGGCGUAAAGGGCGCGUAGGCGGCGUUUUAAGUCGGGGGCGAAAGCCUGUGGCUCAACCACAGAAUGGCCUUCGAUACUGGGACGCUUGAGUAUGGUAGAGGUUGGUGGAACUGCGAGU
Molecule: ribosomal RNA, 520 nt
Filed under: uncultured bacterium
Lineage: Bacteria
Description: bacterial SSU rRNA
Rfam family: Bacterial small subunit ribosomal RNA
Source: RNAcentral